This 2062-nucleotide ribosomal RNA is filed under the name Klebsiella oxytoca 10-5244. RNAcentral's name for it is "bacterial LSU rRNA". It matches the Rfam family "Bacterial large subunit ribosomal RNA", at positions 890 to 2925 of the family's 2925-position model. Lineage: Bacteria; Pseudomonadati; Pseudomonadota; Gammaproteobacteria; Enterobacterales; Enterobacteriaceae. The record is from RNAcentral.
UCAUCUUCGGGGGUAGAGCACUGUUUCGGCUAGGGGGUCAUCCCGACUUACCAACCCGAUGCAAACUACGAAUACCGAAGAAUGUUAUCACGGGAGACACACGGCGGGUGCUAACGUCCGUCGUGAAGAGGGAAACAACCCAGACCGCCAGCUAAGGUCCCAAAGUCAUGGUUAAGUGGGAAACGAUGUGGGAAGGCCCAGACAGCCAGGAUGUUGGCUUAGAAGCAGCCAUCAUUUAAAGAAAGCGUAAUAGCUCACUGGUCGAGUCGGCCUGCGCGGAAGAUGUAACGGGGCUAAACCAUGCACCGAAGCUGCGGCAGCGACGCUUAUGCGUUGUUGGGUAGGGGAGCGUUCUGUAAGCCGUUGAAGGUGGCCUGUGAGGGUUGCUGGAGGUAUCAGAAGUGCGAAUGCUGACAUAAGUAACGAUAAUGCGGGUGAAAAACCCGCACGCCGGAAGACCAAGGGUUCCUGUCCAACGUUAAUCGGGGCAGGGUGAGUCGACCCCUAAGGCGAGGCCGAAAGGCGUAGUCGAUGGGAAACAGGUUAAUAUUCCUGUACUUGGUGUUACUGCGAAGGGGGGACGGAGAAGGCUAUGUUGGCCGGGCGACGGUUGUCCCGGUUUAAGCAUGUAGGCGGAUGUUCCAGGUAAAUCCGGAACGUUAUUAACGCUGAGGUGUGAUGACGAGGCACUACGGUGCUGAAGUGACAAAUGCCCUGCUUCCAGGAAAAGCCUCUAAGCAUCAGGUAACAUCAAAUCGUACCCCAAACCGACACAGGUGGUCAGGUAGAGAAUACCAAGGCGCUUGAGAGAACUCGGGUGAAGGAACUAGGCAAAAUGGUGCCGUAACUUCGGGAGAAGGCACGCUGAUGGUAGGUGAAGUGACUUGCUCGUGGAGCUGAAAUCAGUCGAAGAUACCAGCUGGCUGCAACUGUUUAUUAAAAACACAGCACUGUGCAAACACGAAAGUGGACGUAUACGGUGUGACGCCUGCCCGGUGCCGGAAGGUUAAUUGAUGGGGUUAUCCUCGCGGAGAAGCUCUUGAUCGAAGCCCCGGUAAACGGCGGCCGUAACUAUAACGGUCCUAAGGUAGCGAAAUUCCUUGUCGGGUAAGUUCCGACCUGCACGAAUGGCGUAAUGAUGGCCAGGCUGUCUCCACCCGAGACUCAGUGAAAUUGAACUCGCUGUGAAGAUGCAGUGUACCCGCGGCAAGACGGAAAGACCCCGUGAACCUUUACUAUAGCUUGACACUGAACACUGGUCCUUGAUGUGUAGGAUAGGUGGGAGGCUUUGAAGUGUGGACGCCAGUCUGCAUGGAGCCGUCCUUGAAAUACCACCCUUUAAUGGCUGGUGUUCUAACGUGGGCCCGUGAUCGGGGUUGCGGACAGUGUCUGGUGGGUAGUUUGACUGGGGCGGUCUCCUCCUAAAGAGUAACGGAGGAGCACGAAGGUCAGCUAAUCCUGGUCGGACAUCAGGAGGUUAGUGCAAUGGCAUAAGCUGGCUUGACUGCGAGCGUGACGGCGCGAGCAGGUGCGAAAGCAGGUCAUAGUGAUCCGGUGGUUCUGAAUGGAAGGGCCAUCGCUCAACGGAUAAAAGGUACUCCGGGGAUAACAGGCUGAUACCGCCCAAGAGUUCAUAUCGACGGCGGUGUUUGGCACCUCGAUGUCGGCUCAUCACAUCCUGGGGCUGAAGUAGGUCCCAAGGGUAUGGCUGUUCGCCAUUUAAAGUGGUACGCGAGCUGGGUUUAGAACGUCGUGAGACAGUUCGGUCCCUAUCUGCCGUGGGCGCUGGAGAAUUGAGGGGGGCUGCUCCUAGUACGAGAGGACCGGAGUGGACGCAUCACUGGUGUUCGGGUUGUCAUGCCAAUGGCAUUGCCCGGUAGCUAAAUGCGGAAGAGAUAAGUGCUGAAAGCAUCUAAGCACGAAACUUGCCCCGAGAUGAGUUCUCCCUGACUCCUUGAGAGUCCUGAAGGAACGUUGAAGACGACGACGUUGAUAGGCCGGGUGUGUAAGCGCAGCGAUGCGUUGAGCUAACCGGUACUAAUGAACCGUGAGGCUUAACCUU